UAAGAUAGUGUUUGCAGCCAGCCUUGGA
This 28-nucleotide non-coding RNA is filed under the name Rattus norvegicus (Norway rat). Lineage: Eukaryota; Metazoa; Chordata; Mammalia; Rodentia; Muridae. The record is from RNAcentral.